GGCGGCUACACAUGCAGUCGAGCGGAUGACAGGAGCUUGCUCCUGAAUUCAGCGGCGGACGGGUGAGUAAUGCCUAGGAAUCUGCCUGGUAGUGGGGGACAACGUUUCGAAAGGAACGCUAAUACCGCAUACGUCCUACGGGAGAAAGCAGGGGACCUUCGGGCCUUGCGCUAUCAGAUGAGCCUAGGUCGGAUUAGCUAGUUGGUGAGGUAAUGGCUCACCAAGGCGACGAUCCGUAACUGGUCUGAGAGGAUGAUCAG
This 260-nucleotide ribosomal RNA is filed under the name Pseudomonas baetica. RNAcentral's name for it is "partial 16S ribosomal RNA". It matches the Rfam family "Bacterial small subunit ribosomal RNA", at positions 50 to 307 of the family's 1533-position model. Lineage: Bacteria; Pseudomonadati; Pseudomonadota; Gammaproteobacteria; Pseudomonadales; Pseudomonadaceae. The record is from RNAcentral.